CAAUAGCGUAUAUUAAAGUUGUUGCAGUUAAAAAGCUCGUAGUUGGACCUUAGACCUGGACAGGCGGUCCGCCUCACGGCGUGUACUGUCUUGCUGGGUCUUUCCUCUUGGUGAUCUGUUGUUUCGGCAGCAGGGAACCAGGACUUUUACUUUGAAAAAAUUAGAGUGUUCAAAGCAGGCUCGACGCCGGAAUAUAUUAGCAUGGAAUAAUAAAAUAGGACGUGCGGUUCUAUUUUGUUGGUUUUUGGAAUCGCCGUAAUGAUUAAUAGGGACAGUCGGGGGCAUUAGUACUCACAUGCUAGAGGUGAAAUUCUUGGAUUUUGUGAAGACUAACUUCUGCGAAAGCAUUUGCCAAGGAUGUUUUCAUUAA
Molecule: ribosomal RNA, 370 nt
Filed under: uncultured eukaryote
Lineage: Eukaryota
Description: partial 18S ribosomal RNA
Rfam family: Eukaryotic small subunit ribosomal RNA
Source: RNAcentral